UCUAGGUCUCAAAUCAAGUAAGAAAACUCCCUGAAUUUAAGCAUAUUAAUAAGGGAAGGAAAAGAAACUAACAAGGAUUCCCUCAGUAACGGCGAGUGAAGCGGGAAGAGCUCAAACUUAAAAUCAGCAGUCGUCUCGGCUGCCUGAAUUGUAGUCUAUAGAGGCAAUGCCAGCCGUGGGUUGGGGUUAAGUCCCUUGGAACAGGGCAUCAUAGAGGGUGAGAAUCCCGUCUAUACCUCGAAUCCGCGUGCGUACGGUAUGUCUUCGAAGAGUCAUGUUGCUUGGGAUUGCAGCAUAAAAUGGGAGGUAAAUUCCUUCUAAAGCUAAAUAUUGGCGGGAGACCGAUAGCGAACAAGUACCGUGAGGGAAAGAUGCAAAGAACUUUGAAAAGAGAGUUAAAGAGUGCCUGAAAUUGCUGAAAGGGAAGCGUAUUGAACUAGCGUUAUGCGGUGGUAUUUUCAUUGGGCUGCUUGCAGGCCGGUGCGCUGUGCCACUGUGUAGGUCAGGGUCAGUUCAUGUUCCGCGGGAGACGGUAGUCGGGAAGGUAGGGUUUGGUCUCGGCCAAAUCUGUUAUAGCCUGGUUAUCACGUCGUGGAUAGGACUGAGGAAAUUGCAGCACGCGCCUUUGGCUGGGCUUUGCCCAUGCGUGUUCGAGAUCCUGACGAAAUGGUUUAAUACGGCCCGUCUUGAAACACGGACCAAGGAGUCUAA
RNAcentral lists this ribosomal RNA (711 nucleotides) under uncultured marine stramenopile. RNAcentral's name for it is "eukaryotic LSU rRNA". It matches the Rfam family "Eukaryotic large subunit ribosomal RNA", at positions 1 to 678 of the family's 3401-position model. The record is from RNAcentral.